ACUCCUGCGGGAGGCAGCAGUGGGGAAUAUUGGACAAUGGGCGCAAGCCUGAUCCAGCCAUGCCGCGUGAGUGAUGAAGGCCCUAGGGUUGUAAAGCUCUUUCACCGGUGAAGAUAAUGACGGUAACCGGAGAAGAAGCCCCGGCUACCUUCGUGCCAGCAGCCGCGGUAAUACGAAGGGGGCUAGCGUUGUUCGGAUUUACUGGGCGUAAAGCGCACGUAGGCGGACUAUUAAGUCAGGGGUGAAAUCCCGGGGCUCAACCCCGGAACUGCCUUUGAUACUGGUAGUCUUGAGUUCGAGAGAGGUGAGUGGAAUUCCGAGUGUAGAGGUGAAAUUCGUAGAUAUUCGGAGGAACACCAGUGGCGAAGGCGGCUCACUGGCUCGAUACUGACGCUGAGGUGCGAAAGCGUGGGGAGCAAACAGGAUUAGAAACCCCGGUAGUCCCAU
RNAcentral lists this ribosomal RNA (447 nucleotides) under uncultured organism. Its description in RNAcentral is "partial 16S ribosomal RNA". It matches the Rfam family "Bacterial small subunit ribosomal RNA", at positions 335 to 798 of the family's 1533-position model. The record is from RNAcentral.